GGAGCGCCGCAGCCUCGGCAGUGCUGGUGCGAGGUUGUUCUCGGGCUGGGUGUGUGGGAAUAGACCAUCUCCGGUAGUCAAGGAUGUGCAAGUGAAGUCGAUUUAGAAACCAGCUAAUCAUCUGUCUUGCUUAAGCCGAUUUAUUUUUGUUUGAAAAGUUGUUGAUAUUUGUUACUGCUGUGUACUCCUGCACGCCGCUCUGAGGUGGUGUCAGUGGGAGGCAGCCGGGAUGGCUGUCAGUACUACAGCACGUUCUGAAAAGUUAAACCAUGAUUUACAGUGAAACAGCUGUUGUAAUGUCGGUCGUCAAAAUUUGUUUGUUAAUAACGUUUUUAUUUCUGCUCGAUACGUUGAAACAGCCCUCUGAACAACGUGUGUUCUCUGUUCAGCACAGUGUGACACUGCCCAACACUUCUCAUCCACUUCUCUGCUGUUUACGCUGUGUCAUAAGACAAAUUGCACUGCUGUUAACUGGAAAAUCUGGUCUAGCAUACAUGAUGUGCAUUUAGAGUGACAGUUCUGUACCUUGAUCUACACUUAAUGGUACUCUGGAUGGAGCAUCUGGUAGAACAAGUUUUCCUUAGGACAUAUGAAGAAGAAACUACAUGCUGUGAUGCCAGGCAAACUCCUGCAUGCUUUAUCAUGGGCACCUGAUGAGGGAAGUGCUUUCCUGUAGCUCCUGUUUCACAGCUGAUAAAUUCUGCUUGAUGCAGCUGGUAAUGA
Long non-coding RNA from Onychostruthus taczanowskii (white-rumped snowfinch), 723 nucleotides. RefSeq lists it as uncharacterized. The transcript has 4 exons. Lineage: Eukaryota; Metazoa; Chordata; Aves; Passeriformes; Passeridae. The record is from RefSeq and is a predicted model, not a curated record.